UAAGUGGAGAGUUUGAUCCUGGCUCAGAACAAACGCUGGCGGCGUGCUUAACACAUGCAAGUCGAACGAGAAAUUCCCUGCUUGCAGGGAAGAGUAAAGUGGCGCACGGGUGAGUAACGCGUGGGUAACCUACCUUUGAAUUCGGAAUAGCCCGUCGAAAGGUGGAUUAAUACCGGAUACGGUUUAAGGAUCUUCGGAUUUUUAAAUUAAAGGUGACCUCUUCAUGAAAGUUGCCGUUCAUAGAUGGGCCCGCGUACCAUUAGCUUGUUGGUGGGGUAAUGGCCUACCAAGGCGACGAUGGUUAGCUGGUCUGAGAGGAUGAUCAGCCACACUGGAACUGGAACACGGUCCAGACUCCUACGGGAGGCAGCAGUGAGGAAUUUUGCGCAAUGGGGGAAACCCUGACGCAGCAACGCCGCGUGAGCGAAGAAGGCCUUCGGGUCGUAAAGCUCUGUCAAGUGGGAAAAAAAUCUUUUGAUGAUAGUUAAAGACUUGAUGGUACACUGGA
This is a ribosomal RNA of 508 nucleotides. It matches the Rfam family "Bacterial small subunit ribosomal RNA", at positions 1 to 485 of the family's 1533-position model. The record is from Rfam.